GUGCUUAUGGUGUAAUGGCAGCACAGCAGUUUGUGGCACUGCUAGUACCGGUUCAAAUCCGGUUAAGCACC
Molecule: transfer RNA, 71 nt
Filed under: bacterium
Lineage: Bacteria
Description: tRNA-His
Rfam family: tRNA
About the family: Transfer RNA (tRNA) molecules are approximately 80 nucleotides in length. Their secondary structure includes four short double-helical elements and three loops (D, anti-codon, and T loops).
Source: RNAcentral